AGAAAGUGGAGGGUCUUCCGUGUCGGCUGACUCAUUUGCUUUUUUGGGGAGCGUUUGCCAAUUUAAAAGGGAUUUUAUCUACGUGUGCUGGGUGACUCAUGGGAGGACCGUGAGGUUGAUAACGUUCGGAAAGCACUUAUAUACAAAUGUCCUGUUCACAACCCCAGUCCAUGGUAACCACAGCUAUGACUGUCCAGUGUCCACACAGCUCAACUCCAGUCCACUGUAACAUGAGCGUACAGUCUAUAGAAAUACCUGAGGACGUCUGGGGCUUGAUGACGACAGCAGCCUCCCUCGGCGAGCAACUGAUGUCACUCUCAGGAUCCAGGAGGGUCACGGCACCAAUGUAACGGGGGCAGUCCUAUGCUGUUCUUUGCUGGUCAGCCUGCUGCACGCCCGUCACUCUCGUCAUUAGCUCUGCGUUGUGUUCUAGUUGGGUGGGGCCCCAGGUGUUGUGGGGGGCCCUCAGUCUCUCAUCAUCAUCAUCAUCAUCAUGAUCA
Long non-coding RNA from Lampris incognitus (smalleye Pacific opah), 500 nucleotides. RefSeq lists it as uncharacterized. The transcript has 3 exons. The record is from RefSeq and is a predicted model, not a curated record. NCBI's taxonomy places the organism in Eukaryota, Metazoa, Chordata, Actinopteri, Lampriformes, Lampridae.